Long non-coding RNA from Melanotaenia boesemani (Boeseman's rainbowfish), 246 nucleotides. RefSeq lists it as uncharacterized. NCBI's taxonomy places the organism in Eukaryota, Metazoa, Chordata, Actinopteri, Atheriniformes, Melanotaeniidae. The transcript has 3 exons. The record is from RefSeq and is a predicted model, not a curated record.
GAUCAGGUGUGAUGUGAAUCAGGUGUGAUGUGGAUCAGGUGUGAUUUGGAUCAGGUGUAAUAUGAAUCAGGUGUUAUGUGACUCAGGUGUGACGUGGAUCAGGUGUGAUGUGAAUCAGUUAUAAUGUGGAUGAAGGGUGAUGUGAAUCAGGUGUGAUGUGGAUCAGGUGUGAUUUGGAUCAGGUGUAAUAUGAAUCAGGUGUUAUGUGACUCAGGUGUGACGUGGAUCAGGUGUGAUGUGAAUCAG